Liolophura sinensis is the source of this 696-nucleotide long non-coding RNA. RefSeq lists it as uncharacterized. The transcript has 2 exons. The record is from RefSeq and is a predicted model, not a curated record. NCBI's taxonomy places the organism in Eukaryota, Metazoa, Mollusca, Polyplacophora, Chitonida, Chitonidae.
GGCUGGAGUGGUCAUAGGCUGCAUUAUAGGGGUAGGGAUUGUGAUCGCGCUGAUUGUGGCGUGCUGUGUUAAGGGUUGCUGCAGUACACAAAGCCCGGGCGUUGUGUUCACCCAACAACCGCAAGGCAUGACGGUGUCCCAUGUGUCAGCUUCCCAUAUGAAUCAAGGCUAUGUCCAUGGCUACGGACAGGGUCCUCCGCCGUACAGCACCGCGUCCGCCUAUCCCGGUACAUAUCCUGCAGCAGGGCAGAAAGUUAUGUAUCAGCCUCCCUACACGGCUAAUCCGCCGCCCAUGCAGCAACACCCGCAAAAUGCGCCCAUGCACUCUCCGGUCAGCCAGGCCCCUCAAAUUGCUUCAGACAUGUCCUACCUGGCACCCGUUGGGAGUUCUGUGCCUUCUACCCCCAAUGUCGAGAUUGGAGACGAUGACAGGACCUACGAAAGACUGCAAGUACAGAAGUGAAUGAACUCUCUGUCUCUCCUCUCUCUCUUUCCACAGAAAUGACCAUACCUAAUUUACAUAUAUGUCUACCGUUAACGUCUCAAAUUUUUGUUUGUAUUGUCGAAAGUCUAUCUCAUUAACAAAAUAAUAGUAUUAUUAUUCAUAGAUAUUUACGUGCCACUAAAGCAUCGCGAAUAGACAUAUCGUGGAGUCGUUGAUGGUUUCGAAGAAUUUACUAAACGGAAAAUUUAAGC